Molecule: small RNA, 177 nt
Filed under: Mytilus galloprovincialis (Mediterranean mussel)
Lineage: Eukaryota; Metazoa; Mollusca; Bivalvia; Mytilida; Mytilidae
Source: RNAcentral
CCCAAGAUGUUGGAUGAAAAAUUAGGUCAGUAUUUGUAUUGUCUGUUUAAGUGUUUCUAUAUCAUUUUCUUUUAUAACUUUACAUAGUACCAAUGUAUGCUUUGUAAAGAAAAUGAUAUAGAAACACAUAAACAGACAAUACAAAUACUGACCUAAUUUUUCAUCCAACAUCUUGGG